UUUAUGUUUAUUUUUAGCUCCUCUAGCAGCAUUACUGAGUUAAUUCUUUCUCAUUUUGUUUUCUCUCUUCGAAAAGAAUUUAGCAAAUCGCAACACAAAGACUUCACUAAAUUAAAGCAACUCGAGUCAGCGAAAAUGGAACACAACGGGCACACAAACUUGGGGAACUUCGAGUUUUCGAAGUGUUCGUCAUUUAUUACGAGCGAUAAAAGCAAGUUUGAGCCGAGGAAUGGAAGUUAUCGAAGUGGCGAGUCAAUCCGAAUGUCUAUCGAAGUGACGAGCCAAAGGGAAAGAACCGAAUCUCAAGUUUCAGCUAAUGGCCACCCCAGCGGUUGUGAGACUUCGGAUUCUUGGGCUGCAUCGAUAAAGAAAUAUUUGGAUCGUUUGGUUGAGCAGUACCCUGCUGCAAAAGAGAUGAAUGAAACCAAGAGGUUGUUAGAGGUCUUAUCAUACCUUCGUGAAUGCUCUAACGGUCAUAAUGGCGAAGAAGCGAAGUUACACUUUGUUCUGAUGCUAAUCGAAGAAACUGUCGGAUUCAUUCGAUUCAAAGUUCAACGACAUGUGAAACUGACAACAGAAAUAAAAUUAUUCACCGAAUCCGACAAGGAGGAUUUGGAAGCAAGAUUUGAGGAAAUAAAGGAAAAAGUGAAUCAGUUGAGCGUCUAAACUUUCCUAGAUAACUCUGAUUGAAUUAUUCAGUCCCCGCCCUCCUGAUUGUUUUGUUUCUGAAGUUCAAUAUAAAAAGUCUUUUAAUACAGUAGAUUAAUACAGUACAUUUUAAUACAAUGUUUACUGUCA
Symsagittifera roscoffensis is the source of this 798-nucleotide long non-coding RNA. RefSeq lists it as uncharacterized. The record is from RefSeq and is a predicted model, not a curated record. The transcript has 3 exons. Lineage: Eukaryota; Metazoa; Xenacoelomorpha; Acoela; Convolutidae.